GGAUACAGACAUUGGAAUAUUACUACAAAUGCUUUAUAUCUCAUUAAAACAUAUAGAAUUUUUCUCUAGUAUUUGUAAAAACAUGGAAAUUGCAUACUUCAAGAAAUGCAAGAGACAUUUACAAAGGUACAUACAUUCUAGUCUUCUAUCUCUUUUCUUGAUUCUCCAUUAAGUGUUAUGCUUCAACCUGGCCAUCUUAUUCAUCCUCUGAAUCACUGAGAAGAAACAAAAGGAAUACAACUUAGAAGUUAUAGUCACCAGGCAUGCAAUUUUGAAAAGAAAAAAAAUGCUACAGACCAUACUUAAUGGCCCAAUGAGAUCCAUGCUUCAUAGAUUGUCCUAAGAUAGAUAUUUUCUUCCUUACAAUUAUCCCCUCCCUCUACAUGUAGUUUUAAUCCAGAAACCAUG
Molecule: long non-coding RNA, 408 nt
Filed under: Setaria viridis
Lineage: Eukaryota; Viridiplantae; Streptophyta; Magnoliopsida; Poales; Poaceae
Description: long non-coding RNA (SVIR_LNC010360)
Source: RNAcentral